RNAcentral lists this long non-coding RNA (915 nucleotides) under Malus domestica (apple). RNAcentral's name for it is "long non-coding RNA (MDOM_LNC015099)". Lineage: Eukaryota; Viridiplantae; Streptophyta; Magnoliopsida; Rosales; Rosaceae. The record is from RNAcentral.
UUAUGCAAAUCAAUAGCAUGUUUUGAAUGAAAUAGGCAUGAGUUCUAGCAUUUGGAACUAAAUGAUGGAACGUCUUCUAAGUAGCAACCGAGCAAAAAAUAAUGAGAUCAUGCAACGACUUUAGAAAACAAUGAUGCACAUAUUAUUAACUCUCCAAAUAAAUGUUUAGGCUCAAGUCUCACAAGGUUGUAGCGUUCAUUUAAGUUCCUUCCUUCAAGCAUGUUACAAAAACUGGUUUUUCCUAUAUGAUUACAUGUUAAUUCAUAAAUUAUAACCACAACCAAGCAUACACCAAAGAGUAAAUCAAAUUUUCAUCCAUGUUUAUAAUUCUUUUUAACAGUCAUGUAAUUAAAAACCAAAUCCUCAUCAUUGUGUUGGAAGGUACCCUAAGACACAAAUAAACACAUAAAAACAACUCUUUUUGGGUUUUUCAAAACAAUUUUUCAAAUUUAUGAGAUUUUCGGAUUUUUAUGUCAAAACACACUUAAACACUCCAAAACAGCUUUAAAACACUUAAAAACAGCAAGGAACAACACUAGAAGUAAUAGGUGAUAAACUCCUACGAAUUUUAUGCAAAACAACUUGGUUAUCCCCCCACACUUAAAUCAAACAUUGUCUUCAAUGUUUCAAGCAUAAACACACACAAAAACAAGCAAACAAACAAACAACGAAUAAACAUGACAAGUAUAGCAAAGUAAAAACCAGACAGAGUAGAGUUUAAGAACGCAAAUCUGGUUUUGGAGAUAGAUGAUCUUGUUGACUUUCCACAACUUUGAUCUCGAACUGGUUUGGAAUUCUGAGCAAGGAAUAUUAGAGUUCCUUGGUUGUGCAGUCUGCAUUCUUCUCUGCUUGUUUCUUCUGCACGGCAGGCAGGCACGAGGUAGAGGUAAUGGUCUGUUUCUUUCUUCAAUCUUU